Molecule: long non-coding RNA, 2962 nt
Organism: Felis catus (domestic cat)
Lineage: Eukaryota; Metazoa; Chordata; Mammalia; Carnivora; Felidae
Exons: 15
Source: RefSeq, a predicted model, not a curated record
GGGUUGCAAUUUUCCGCCCCACCCCCGGCCCUCUGCGGAGGGGGAGGGCCGGAGGUUGACUCUGUGGGCCUCCAUCCGGCCUGUUGGGAAACUUCCAGAGACAUCCCCAGGGAGGGGGUUCAGAGAGCUUCCUGGCCUGUGGACACACGCAGGUGUGGGGAGAGAGGUGCUCCCGGAGAGGCCACGGGAGUUCUGCCUCCCUUCCCCACACCUGGCCCUGUGCAUGACUCCUCUGGCUGGUCCUGAGUCCUGUCCUGUCACCAUCAACCGUGGCCCGUCCAGGAUCCAUUCUGGAAUCCCACAUUACAUCUUGGCCACGGCGGCUGACUGUCCUCCUGCAUGGGGAAGGCCCUACAUCUUUCCUGAUCUUUCGUGACCUGAACACUUGAAGAAUCACGAGAGACAGCGUAUCAGCGGGGGACAUGCAGAGAGAGAGGGAGACACUAAGUCAGAAGCAGGCUCCAGGCUCUGAGCUGUCAGCACCGAGCCCGACGCGAGGCUCGAAUUCACAGACCUUGAGAUCGUGACCUGAGCCGAAGUUGGUCGCUCAACUGACCGAGUCACCCAGGCGCCCCAGGAUUCUUUCUUCUUACUGGAAUUUUUACCCAUCAGCUGGAUGACAGUGUUCAGCUCUUAAUUGCCCGCGGACGCUUCUCCAGUGAGUGCCUGACGGUUCUGCCUUUCCGGAACUCGCACACGGGGGAGUAAACAGCCUUUAUUUUUGCAUGUUGGGGAGGAAGAAUUUCCUCUGCCAUUCAAGGUCCUCCUGGUUGGAUUAAGAAUCAAGUUGACACGAGGCAGAUGAGCAUGAGAAAAUCACGUUUACUUUCCUACGUACGGGGAACCCACACAGACACAGAAAUUCCAACGACAGGCAAAAUGAGAGUCGAGAACCUAAGCGUUUCCAAGAACUGUGUUUAUGGCCUUUUGUUGACCAGGAAUGGCCCCUUCAUAUCCUAUGUCGUCAAAUCCAAGAUGCUUUUCAAGGUCAACUCACUCAGUCACUCUUACUGGGUGAAGACUUGCAAAUCAAUCAGAGCAUUAAGUGGAUCUCCAGAAGUUUCACAGCAAUUUAGAAAUGAAACCAAGAUUUAAUACCAGCCUGCUUAAAAAGGUGCCAUGUCGAUGAUGCACGCCGUGCAACAGAUGGGAAAAAUCCUCAUGCAACUUAACAACAUGCUCACGUUUUCCUGUAGUUCUGCCGAAACACAACUUUGUGAGAGCUCCCUCCGUUAAAGCCAAGGCAGCCAGGUAAUGAAGGAGUCAGAAAGUGGACAGAAGCUGCCGGCAAGUUGUACCUGCCUGAGAAUGGAAUUGGCAACCAUGAAGCCUUUCAACAGGGUUUGGUUGUCCCAAGAACGGUGGCGUUUGCAACCAUUUUGGAAUGGGUCGUGGCCUCGGGAAGGAGCUUAAAGAAAAUCAUUUUGCCCGAAUUCCACGUGAAAAUGGCAUGAUGAUUACUUUUUCUUCCUGUCCCUGCCAACACUUGGUGCUUGGCUAAAUGAAAAUAAAGGACAGAUAAGCUCACGGCUCGACAUUAUUGUCCUCUGCAUACAAAGUUCCACAUUCCAGGAGAGACACCGUGCCAUAUGGUUAGACUCUGUGCAUCACGGACUGAAGUCAGAAAAAGCUUGCCAAGCCCUGAUGCAGAAGAUUGUUGAGUAAAAAACAUCAUUCCCAGCACCGCCAAGCAUGCGCUAAUCUCUUCUCUGCGUCUUCCAAAUUGUGGCUCCAGAUGUUGUCCCUGAUUCAUGGGGUGUUCACGAAAGCUGGCAAGGCCACCGACAAAUGUGUUACAUGACUGCUGCGCCUUGAAAAACAAACAGACCGACAAAGCUGGCCUCAAGUUUCCAACUUGUUACAGAAGAACGAUAAGAAUAGCAUAAAAUGGAGAACUGAGCACACAGCCCUCUUCGGAUCCUGCGUUCGCCUCUCUCUCUGCGGCCGCAGGGCUCGAAGUCAAGAACCGCGAGAUCAUGACCUGACUCACGGUCAGGUGCUUAACGGAGCGAGCCACCCAGGCACCCCAAGGAGUGCUUUCAACUACACCAUAGUAAUAAGGUCAAUAUUGGGGAAAACAAAGAAAAUCACAGUGUAUUCCCUUUGCUUUCACAAACCUUAUUCUGGGGCCAAAAGGCCAAAGAACCUGACACUCGUGAUUGCAUCUGGCACAAUUUUCUGCAAAGUUCUGGAAUGUUCCUCCUCUGCUCUCGCAAGGGCGAAAACACAGAUCUUACAACACUGCCGACUUUCGAAGGAACACGAAAGCCAAGACUUGGCUUCUCCUGCCAUUCCGUGGAGGUGACGAUAGGGAAGAAUCCAUAAACUUCAACAGUAACAUAAACGAGCUGGGCCAAGUAAAUGAACCCAUCAGAAGGAUGCUCCAGUGUCACACAGUGCACAUUCUGGAAAACUCUGGGCCAGUAGAGUUACCAUCGUCCUCAGACACAGGUCUGAAAGAUGCCAGGUCUAUGCUAUAGCCGCGUGGCUUGGAAAUCGGUGCAGGUACCUUUGGGUUUUAUGUUUCCUCACAGGGUCUGUGGGGAGCCAUGUAGGGUACCAUGUACGCCUCCCUCCUUCCUCCUAGAUGACCAUCUUCCACGAUGGGUCUGGGCACAAGGCUGUGCACUGAAACACCUCCUCAACCUCUUUUGCUUCCAGACACGGCCCCGACACUCAUUUCUGGCCAGUUACAUGUAGGAGACAUGCUGGAGUUCAAAUUCAGGUCCUUCCCAAAGCAACGUACUUACCUUCUAACUCUCCCUCUCUGGCCCAUGGCAUCACUUUCAACCAGGAAACAGGACAGCCCGUUCCCACAUCCCUUUACAACAGUGUUAUGGACUAAAUUAUGGUCUCCUGGUGGGGGAAAAAAGAUACUUUAAAGACCUAUUUUUAGGGGCACCUGGGGGGAUCAGUCGGUUAAGCGUCCAACUUCAGCUCAAGUCACGAUCUCAUGGUUCGU